This is a long non-coding RNA of Exaiptasia diaphana, 511 nucleotides long. RefSeq lists it as uncharacterized. The transcript has 3 exons. NCBI's taxonomy places the organism in Eukaryota, Metazoa, Cnidaria, Anthozoa, Actiniaria, Aiptasiidae. The record is from RefSeq and is a predicted model, not a curated record.
GAGAACAUUCCUAACAAUUUACGCAUCACAAAGGGUAUAAAAUACGCUCGAGAUAAACAAACAACACCGGAAGAAACAUAAACACCACAAGUUUAAACCACAUCCAAAGGUCUUCAAGCCUUUCCUUCACUCGUGGAAUCCUCGUUUGCUUGCAAGCAGGCUUCGUUGUAGCUGUGAUCCGGGAAUAUAACUCUCAUCGUUCAUCAUCAGCCUUUGGAUAGAUUCAAGUUGUUCUAGAAGCACAACAACAAAGUGCAGACACAAGACACAAAAGAACCAAAGAUGAAACUCAGUGGCGAAGAAAACCAGGACGAAAACCCUUGACACAAUCAUGAACGCCCGCCAAAAUAAUAUUGCAGCAAAGCCAAUCCAUCCCAGCUCUCCUUUGUCUGCUUUGGAGUCCCUCAAUGCGUUCUGAUAAUUUGUCAAAGCCAGUGAAUAAGAAAUAAAUGAGCAACAUAUAGCAGCAAGUGUUUUUAUAUCUUGUACUCUCAUUGAGAUUAAGUGUUCU